RNAcentral lists this ribosomal RNA (297 nucleotides) under uncultured Actinomycetes bacterium. RNAcentral's name for it is "uncultured actinobacterium partial 16S ribosomal RNA". It matches the Rfam family "Bacterial small subunit ribosomal RNA", at positions 1102 to 1397 of the family's 1533-position model. Lineage: Bacteria; Bacillati; Actinomycetota; Actinomycetes. The record is from RNAcentral.
CCCUUGUUCUAUGUUGCCAGCACGUAAUGGUGGGGACUCAUAGGAGACUGCCGGGGACAACUCGGAGGAAGGUGAGGACGACGUCAAGUCAUCAUGCCCCUUACACCUAGGGCUGCACGCAUGCUACAAUGGUCGGUACAACGGGCUGCGAUCCUGCGAAGGUGAGCGAAUCCCUCAAAGCCGGCCUCAGUUCGGAUUGGAGUCUGCAACUCGACUCCAUGAAGUCGGAGUCGCUAGUAAUCGCGGAUCAGCAAAGCCGCGGUGAAUGCGUUCUCGGGGAUUGCACACACCGCCCGU